RNAcentral lists this ribosomal RNA (406 nucleotides) under uncultured bacterium. Its description in RNAcentral is "partial 16S ribosomal RNA". It matches the Rfam family "Bacterial small subunit ribosomal RNA", at positions 30 to 526 of the family's 1533-position model. The record is from RNAcentral.
AUUGAACGCUGGCGGCAGGCCUAACACAUGCAAGUCGAACGAGUGGCGGACGGGUGAGUAAUGUAUGGGAAACUGCCUGCUGGAGGGGGAUAACUACUGGAAACGGUAGCUAAUACCGCAUACCAUCAGAUUUGCCCAGAUGGGCUUAGCUUGUUGGUGGGGUAACGCCUCACCAAGGAGACGAUCCCUAGCUGGUCUGAGAGGGUGACGAGCCACACGGGCACGGAGACACGGUCCAGCCUCCUACGGGGGGCAGCAGUGGGGAAGUUUGCACAAGGGGCGCAAGCCUGAUGCAGCCAUGCCGCGUGUAGGAAGAGGGCCUUCGUGUUGUAAAGUACUUUCAGCGGGGAGGCGUUACCCGCAGAAGAAGCACCGGCUAACUCCGUGCCAGCAGCCGCGGUAAUUC